This 399-nucleotide unclassified non-coding RNA is filed under the name fungal sp. RNAcentral's name for it is "partial internal transcribed spacer region". The stretch from base 1 to 46 matches the Rfam family "Eukaryotic small subunit ribosomal RNA", at positions 1786 to 1831 of the family's 1831-position model. The record is from RNAcentral. Lineage: Eukaryota; Fungi.
AAGUCGUAACAAGGUUUCCGUAGGUGAAGCUGCGGAAGGAUCAUUAACACGUAUCCAAACGUUAAAACCCCCCCCGUGAACAUUGAUUCCUGCUCUUGUAACCCGCGAAGCUUGCAAUCUCUGGUAAGUCAUAGCCCGGAAAGUAGUUUUGAUUCAGAGACCUCUGGCCCGUGCAAAAAUUGGACCAGUUACAAUUCGAGCGGUAGUUCUAUUGGCCUUGUUUCCCCAAGCAGUCAGUGUCUGAAAGUGUCAGUGAUUGUGCAAGGAUAACGCUUCACGAUUCUUGUAGACCGCACCUCGCGGGCAGGAGCUAGGCCAAACCCUUACAACCCCAGAAGCUCAAUGUAAUACAUUGGGUAAAAAACAGAACAACUGUUAACAAUGGAUAUCUUGGUUCUC